UGGGGAUUGGUGUAAAGGCAGCAUAACGUACUUUGAAUGCGUUGGUAUCAGUUCGAAUCUGUUAUCCCCAG
RNAcentral lists this transfer RNA (71 nucleotides) under Vibrio phage phi-Grn1. RNAcentral's name for it is "tRNA-Gln". It matches the Rfam family "tRNA". Rfam says of the family: Transfer RNA (tRNA) molecules are approximately 80 nucleotides in length. Their secondary structure includes four short double-helical elements and three loops (D, anti-codon, and T loops). Lineage: Duplodnaviria; Heunggongvirae; Uroviricota; Caudoviricetes; Pantevenvirales; Straboviridae. RNAcentral also lists the same sequence under 1 other name. The record is from RNAcentral.